Molecule: ribosomal RNA, 117 nt
Filed under: Candidatus Woesearchaeota archaeon
Lineage: Archaea; Nanobdellati; Candidatus Woesearchaeota
Source: RNAcentral
UCAGACGGCCAUGGUGGUCUGGUCCUACCCGAUCCCAUUCCGAACUCGGAAGUCAAGCAGACCUACGUUCUGCGCGGUACUGCUCUCUUGAGCGGGAAAUGCAGAAAGCCGUCGCCC